GCCGCCUUGGCUUAGUGGUACAGCGUCGCACUCGUAAGAUUUCCUCCUCAGGGUAUGCGAAGAUCCGCGGUUCGAUUCCGCGAGGCGGCA
This is a non-coding RNA of Decorospora gaudefroyi, 90 nucleotides long. NCBI's taxonomy places the organism in Eukaryota, Fungi, Ascomycota, Dothideomycetes, Pleosporales, Pleosporaceae. The record is from the annotation of a GenBank genome assembly.